GUGAAAUUUUAAUAGACUUAGUGGCGGACGGGUGAGUAACGCGUGGAUAACCUGCCUUAUACAGGGGGAUAACGGAGAGAAAUUUCCGCUAACACCGCAUAAGACCACAGCACCGCAUGGUGCAGGGGUAAAAUAUUUAUAGGUAUAAGAUGGAUCCGCGUCCGAUUAGCUAGUUGGUGAGGUAAAGGCCCACCAAGGCGACGAUCGGUAGCCGGCCUGAGAGGGUGAACGGCCACAUUGGGACUGAGACACGGCCCAAACUCCUACGGGAGGCAGCAG
RNAcentral lists this ribosomal RNA (279 nucleotides) under uncultured oral bacterium HTS. RNAcentral's name for it is "16S ribosomal RNA". It matches the Rfam family "Bacterial small subunit ribosomal RNA", at positions 75 to 354 of the family's 1533-position model. The record is from RNAcentral.